GACGAACGCUGGCGGCGUGCUUAACACAUGCAAGUCGAACGGUAAGGCCCUUCGGGGUACACGAGUGGCGAACGGGUGAGUAACACGUGGGUGAUCUGCCCUGCACUUCGGGAUAAGCCUGGGAAACUGGGUCUAAUACCGGAUAGGACCACUGCCUGCAUGGGUGGUGGUGGAAAGCUUUUGCGGUGUGGGAUGGGCCCGCGGCCUAUCAGCUUGUUGGUGGGGUGAUGGCCUACCAAGGCGACGACGGGUAGCCGGCCUGAGAGGGUGACCGGCCACACUGGGACUGAGAUACGGCCCAGACUCCUACGGAAGGCAGCAGUGGGGAAUAUUGCACAGUGGGCGCAAGCCUGAUGCAGCGACGCCGCGUGAGGGAUGACGGCCUUCGGGUUGUAAACCUCUUUCAGCACCGACGAAGCGCAAGUGACGGUAGGUGCAGAAGAAGGACCGGCCAACUACGUGCCAGCCGCCGCCGUAA
This 478-nucleotide ribosomal RNA is filed under the name uncultured bacterium. Its description in RNAcentral is "partial 16S ribosomal RNA". It matches the Rfam family "Bacterial small subunit ribosomal RNA", at positions 28 to 523 of the family's 1533-position model. The record is from RNAcentral.